RNAcentral lists this transfer RNA (74 nucleotides) under Candidatus Zambryskibacteria bacterium RIFOXYC1_FULL_39_10. RNAcentral's name for it is "tRNA-Gly". It matches the Rfam family "tRNA". Rfam says of the family: Transfer RNA (tRNA) molecules are approximately 80 nucleotides in length. Their secondary structure includes four short double-helical elements and three loops (D, anti-codon, and T loops). Lineage: Bacteria; Candidatus Zambryskiibacteriota. RNAcentral also lists the same sequence under 1 other name. The record is from RNAcentral.
GCGGGAUUAGUUUAGUGGUAAAAUGCGAGUUUUCCAAACUUGAGUCGGGGUUUCGAUUACCCCAUCCCGCACCA